This 532-nucleotide ribosomal RNA is filed under the name Amanita citrina. Its description in RNAcentral is "eukaryotic LSU rRNA". It matches the Rfam family "Eukaryotic large subunit ribosomal RNA", at positions 106 to 629 of the family's 3401-position model. The record is from RNAcentral. Lineage: Eukaryota; Fungi; Basidiomycota; Agaricomycetes; Agaricales; Amanitaceae.
AGCUCAAAUUUAAAAUCUGACAGUGUUUUGCUGUCCGAGUUGUAACCUAGAGAAGUGUAACCUGUGCUGGACCAUGUACAAGUCUCCUGGAAUGGGGCAUCGCAGAGGGUGAGAAUCCCGUGUUUGACAUGGACUACCAGUGCAUUGUGGUUGUGCUCUCAACGAGUCGAGUUGUUUGGGAAUGCAGCUCUAAAUGGGUGGUAAAUUCCAUCUAAAGCUAAAUAUUGGCGAGAGACCGAUAGCGAACAAGUACCGUGAGGGAAAGAUGAAAAGAACUUUGGAAAGAGAGUUAAACAGUAUGUGAAAUUGUUGAAAGGGAAACGUUUGAAGUCAGUCAUGUUGGGUGGGGAUCAGCCUGGCAGAUUGUUGGGUGUACUUCCUGGUUGACGGGCCAACAUCAGUUUUGACUGCCAGAGAAAGGUGAAGGGAAUGUGGCACCUUUGGGUGUGUUAUAGCUCUUUGUCGUAUGUGGUGGUUGGGACUGAGGAAAGCAGUGCGCCGAAAGGCGGGGUUUCGACCACAUUCGCACUGA